RNAcentral lists this ribosomal RNA (496 nucleotides) under uncultured bacterium. RNAcentral describes it as "bacterial SSU rRNA". It matches the Rfam family "Bacterial small subunit ribosomal RNA", at positions 791 to 1286 of the family's 1533-position model. The record is from RNAcentral.
UAGUCCACGCCGUAAACGAUGGACACUAGAUGUUGGAGGACUUGAUCUUUCAGUGUCGUAGCUAACGUGUUAAGUGUCCCGCCUGGGGAGUACGUCCGCAAGGAUGAAACCCAAAGGAAUUGACGGGGGCCCGCACAAGCGGUGGAGCAUGUGCUUUAAUUCGAUGCAACGCGAAGAACCUUACCUGGUCUUGACAUACCAUUGACCGCUCAAGAGAUAGAGUUUUAUCUUCGGAUACAGUGGAUACAGGUGCUGCAUGGUUGUCGUCAGCUCGUGUCGUGAGAUGUUGGGUUAAGUCCCGCAACGAGCGCAACCCUUGUCCUUAGUUGCUAGCAGGUAAUGCUGAGAACUCUAAGGAGACUGCCCACGCAAGUGGGAGGAAGGUGAGGAUGACGUCAAAUCAUCAUGGCCCUUACGACCAGGGCUAGACACGUGCUACAAUGGCUGGUACAAUGGGUUGCUAACUGGUGACAGUAUGCUAAUCUCAAAAACCGGU